Molecule: ribosomal RNA, 497 nt
Filed under: uncultured bacterium
Lineage: Bacteria
Description: partial 16S ribosomal RNA
Rfam family: Bacterial small subunit ribosomal RNA
Source: RNAcentral
GACGAACGCUGGCGGCGUGCCUAAUACAUGCAAGUAGAACGCUGAAGAGAGGAGCUUGCUCUUCUUGGAUGAGUUGCGAACGGGUGAGUAACGCGUAGGUAACCUGCCUGGUAGCGGGGGAUAACUAUUGGAAACGAUAGCUGAUACCGCAUAAAAUUGAUUAUUGCAUGAUAAUUAAUUGAAAGAUGCAACUGCAUCACUACCAGAUGGACCUGCGUUGUAUUAGCUAGUUGGUGAGGUAACGGCUCACCAAGGCGACGAUACAUAGCCGACCUGAGAGGGUGAUCGGCCACACUGGGACUGAGACACGGCCCAGACUCCUACGGGAGGCAGCAGUAGGGAAUCUUCGGCAAUGGGGGGAACCCUGACCGAGCAACGCCGCGGGAGUGAAGAAGGUUUUCGGAUCGUAAAGCUCUGUUGUAAGAGAAGAACGGGUGUGAGAGUGGAAAGUUCACACUGUGACGGUAUCUUACCAGAAAGGGACGGCUAACUACGUG